This 242-nucleotide unclassified non-coding RNA is filed under the name Hevea brasiliensis (rubber tree). Lineage: Eukaryota; Viridiplantae; Streptophyta; Magnoliopsida; Malpighiales; Euphorbiaceae. The record is from RNAcentral.
UGCAAACAAAGGAGCUGUGGUUCAUAAAAUACAGCAACGGAUUUUCUAUUAUCCUCUUCUUAAUAGGAAACAUUUAAUUUUUUAUGUUUUCUUUUUAUAUUCUUUACCAAUCAGUUCAAGAAAAAAUAUUAGCAAGAAUCCAAUUCACGAAUUUCAAUCCUCAAAUUGGUGAAUUCAAAUGAUUACCAUUCUUCUAUUAUUCUAAGAAAGAGUGAUUACCUAUAUGGUCCAUCUCCAAUAAA